AGAACGAACGCUGGCGGCGUGGAUAAGACAUGCAAGUCGAACGCUGAUUUCAGGGUAGCAAUAUUCUGGAGUCGGAGUGGCGCAAGGGUGCGUAACACGUGGGUAAUUUGCCGUAAAGCCUGGAAUAACUCGCUGAAAGGCGAGCUAAUGCCGGAUGUGAUGUUUGGGAGGCAUCUCCUGAACCUUAAAGCUGGGGACCGUAAGGCCUGGCACUUUUCGAUAAGCCCGCGGCCUAUCAGCUAGUUGGUGAGGUAACGGCUCACCAAGGCUAAGACGGGUAGCUGGUCUGAGAGGACGACCAGCCACACUGGAACUGAGACACGGUCCAGACACCUACGGGUGGCAGCAGUCGAGAAUUUUUCACAAUGGGCGAAAGCCUGAUGGAGCGACGCCGCGUGGGGGAUGAAUGGCUUCGGCCCGUAAACCCCUGUCAUUUGCGAUCAAACCGCGUUGUUUAAGAGAUGACGCGCUGAUAGUAGCGGAAGAGGAAGGGACGGCUAACUCUGUGCCAGCAGCCGCGGUAAUACAGAGGUCCCAAGCGUUGUUCGGAUUCACUGGGCGUAAAGGGUGCGUAGGUGGCCGGGUAAGUCUGACGUGAAAUCUCCAAGCUCAACUUGGAAACUGCGUCGGAUACUAUCCGGCUAGAGGAUCGGAGGGGAGACUGGAAUACUUGGUGUAGCAGUGAAAUGCGUAGAUAUCAAGUGGAACACCAGUGGCGAAGGCGAGUCUCUGGACGAUUCCUGACACUGAGGCACGAAAGCCAGGGGAGCAAACGGGAUUAGAUACCCCGGUAGUCCUGGCCGUAAACGGUGCACGUUUGCUGUAAGAGGAAUCGACCCCUCUUGUGGCGAAGCUAACGCGUUAAACGUGCCGCCUGGGAAGUACGGUCGCAAGAUUAAA
RNAcentral lists this ribosomal RNA (900 nucleotides) under uncultured bacterium. RNAcentral's name for it is "bacterial SSU rRNA". It matches the Rfam family "Bacterial small subunit ribosomal RNA", at positions 26 to 898 of the family's 1533-position model. The record is from RNAcentral.